This 235-nucleotide ribosomal RNA is filed under the name uncultured bacterium. Its description in RNAcentral is "partial 16S ribosomal RNA". It matches the Rfam family "Bacterial small subunit ribosomal RNA", at positions 337 to 589 of the family's 1533-position model. The record is from RNAcentral.
GCCUACGGGGGGCAGCAGUGGGGAAUAUUGCCCAAUGGGGGAAACCCUGAUGCAGCGACGCCGCGUGAGUGAAGAAGUAAUUCGUUAUGUAAAGCUCUAUCAGCAGGGAAGAAAAUGACGGUACCUGAGUAAGAAGCCCCGGCUAACUACGUGCCAGCAGCCGCGGUAAUACGUAGGGGGCAAGCGUUAUCCGGAUUUACUGGGGGUAAAGGGAGCGUAGACGGUCCUGCAAGCC